UCACUUCACAUUCACGUUUGAUCGCCUAUAUGGGUCAUUGCCGGCUUCGGUCGGCUAUGACGAUAAAUUGCGGCGUGCAAUAGGCACAGCGGACCCGGGGGCGGUACCCGGCGGCUCCACCACCAACCUCGCCAAGGCGGCGUUGAUGACGGGGCCGAACUAGGAUCGACGUGUGUUGAAAAGCGGUGUUUUCGUCCGGGCUGAGUAACCCGUUCAAGGCUCAAAACUCAUAAGUGCCAACGACAACGAAGCACUUGCUCUCGCCGCGUAAUUCUAGGGCCUAACGGCCUGAAGUUACAAAGCUAGAACGCGGUUGGACCCACCGGUCAACAGAAGCGGAUUCCAGGGGUUCGGGGUGUACCUGGCAACAGAAACACCCCACU
This is a non-coding RNA of Novosphingobium sp. PP1Y, 383 nucleotides long. NCBI's taxonomy places the organism in Bacteria, Pseudomonadati, Pseudomonadota, Alphaproteobacteria, Sphingomonadales, Sphingomonadaceae. The record is from Rfam.